UACCAGCUCUCCGAGUGGUAGGGAUGAUUAUUGGGCUUAAAGCGUCCGUAGCCGGCUUAGCAAGUCUCCUGUUAAAUUCAGCGACCUAAUCGUUGAGCCGCGGGAGAUACUACUAGGCUAGGAGGCGGGAGAGGUCAACGGUACUUCCGGGGUAGGGGUGAAAUCCUAUAAUCCCGGGAGGACCACCAGUGGCGAAGGCUGUUGACUAGAACGCGCUCGACGGUGAGGGACGAAAGCUGGGGGAGCGAACCGGAUUAGAUACCCGGGUAGUCCCAGCUGUAAACGAUGCGAGCUAGGUGUUGGGGUGGCUACGUGCCACUUCAGUGCCGCAGGGAAGCCAUUAAGCCUGCCGCCUGGGGAGUACGGCCGCAAGGCUGAAACUUAAAGGAAUUGGCGGGGGAGCACCACAAGGGGUGAAGCUUGCGGUUU
RNAcentral lists this ribosomal RNA (429 nucleotides) under uncultured archaeon. RNAcentral describes it as "bacterial SSU rRNA". It matches the Rfam family "Archaeal small subunit ribosomal RNA", at positions 474 to 903 of the family's 1478-position model. The record is from RNAcentral.